AGCGAACGCUGGCGGCAGGCCUAACACAUGCAAGUCGAACGGAUCCUUCGGGAUUAGUCGCGGACGGGUGAGUAACACGUGGGAACAUGCCCUUUGGUUCGGAACAACUCAGGGACACUUGAGCUAAUACCGGAUGUGCCCUUCGGGGGAAUGAUUUAUCGCCAUUGGUGCGGCCCGCGUCUGAUUAGCUAGUUGGUGCGGUAACGGCCCACCAAGGCGACGAUCAGUAGCUGGUUUGUGAGGAUGAUCAGCCACACUGGGACUGAGACACGGCCCAGACUCCUACGGGAGGCAGCAGUGGGGAAUCUUGCGCAAUGGGCGAAAGCAUGAAGCAGCCAUGCCGCGUGAAUGAUGAAGGUCUUAGGAUUGUAAAAUUCUUUCAGCGGGGACGAUAAUGACGGUACCCGCAGAAGAAGCUCCGGCUAACUUCGUG
This 433-nucleotide ribosomal RNA is filed under the name uncultured bacterium. RNAcentral describes it as "partial 16S ribosomal RNA". It matches the Rfam family "Bacterial small subunit ribosomal RNA", at positions 29 to 507 of the family's 1533-position model. The record is from RNAcentral.